Molecule: ribosomal RNA, 305 nt
Filed under: uncultured bacterium
Lineage: Bacteria
Description: bacterial SSU rRNA
Rfam family: Bacterial small subunit ribosomal RNA
Source: RNAcentral
AUUGCCUACGGGAGGCAGCAGUGAGGAAUAUUGGUCAAUGGGCGGGAGCCUGAACCAGCCAUGCCGCGUGAAGGCGAGUGCCCUACGGGCGUUAAACUUCUUUUGUGCGGGAGCAAUAAGGGCCACGUGUGGCCCGAUGAGAGUACCGCACGAAUAAGCAUCGGCUAACUCCGUGCCAGCAGCCGCGGUAAUACGUAUGGUGCAAGCGUUAUCCGGAUUUACUGGGUGUAAAGGGAGCGCAGGCGGCACGGCAAGCCUGAUGUGAAAGCCCGCGGCCCAACCGCGGGACUGCAUUGGGAACUACC